RNAcentral lists this ribosomal RNA (243 nucleotides) under uncultured Actinomycetales bacterium. RNAcentral's name for it is "partial 16S ribosomal RNA". It matches the Rfam family "Bacterial small subunit ribosomal RNA", at positions 88 to 334 of the family's 1533-position model. The record is from RNAcentral. Lineage: Bacteria; Bacillati; Actinomycetota; Actinomycetes; Actinomycetales.
UACUCGAGUGGCGAACGGGUGAGUAACACGUGGGUGAUCUGCCUGCACUUCGGGAUAAGCCUGGGAAACUGGGUCUAAUACCGGAUAGGAGCCAUUUUUAGUGUGAUGGUUGGAAAGUUUUUUCGGUGUAGGAUGAGCUCGCGGCCUAUCAGCUUGUUGGUGGGGGUAAUGGCCUACCAAGGCGGCGACGGGUAGCCGGCCUGAGAGGGUGGACGGCCACAUUGGGACUGAGAUACGGCCCAG